This 264-nucleotide ribosomal RNA is filed under the name Triticum aestivum (bread wheat). Its description in RNAcentral is "partial small subunit ribosomal RNA". Lineage: Eukaryota; Viridiplantae; Streptophyta; Magnoliopsida; Poales; Poaceae. The record is from RNAcentral.
AAGAAUACGCGGAGGAGGUGGCCCGGGUCGGCGUCGGCGCCGUCCGGCGCGGGCCACGGGCCCGCUUCCAAGUGCGUCUGCGCGCCGGCCACCCACGACGGGUCCUCCAAGUGCCGCUUCCACCGCACCAACUCCCAGGGCCACGGCCACAACCACGGCCAGGGAAGCCGCCCUUCUUCGCCCCCUUCACCGGCCGCGGCCAACGCGGUGCCGCGGCACCCGGCCUCGCUGUCCUCGUCCUCCGGCACCGUCACGACCCAGUGA